UUUUUUUGAUCGGUAAAUGUAAAUAUAUAGAUAAAAAAUGUACCAUGUACAAAUACACCGGGCAUACCCGAGCGAGACAAUGUCCAAAAUCAAAUACAAGUACACCGGGCAUACCCGGGCGAAUCAAUGUCCAUAAACAUAAACAACUACUCCGGGCAUACCCGGGCAAACGUAAGGGACAAAUAAAAACGAAAUAUUCCGAGCAUACCCAGGAGAUACAAUCAAGUGAAGUACAUAAAAACUCAAUGUCCCAAUGCUAAAGACUCGAAAUGGAUCAAGACAUCCGGAUACGAGGUGAACAUAAACUUGUAUACGUGUGUUUUGAUCCGUCUCACAAUGCUAUCCAAGUCGGGUUUGAGAUCUUCAAAAAUCUUCCUAUUCCGUGUGAACCAAAUAUAGUAAACCGUAGUGGCAAGAGCAAUCCUCUUCACUUUACUUUGCCAUGAUGUUCCACGAGCCUCCUUUUUCAACCAUUUUAAAGCACUAGCAAUAGUUGACAUAGAUCUCCUAAUGCAAAGCUAACGCCUAACAUUCCCCCAUAAUGAAGAAGUGAAAGAACAUUUAAAGAAAAGAUGCUCACAAGUCUCCUCCGAAUGAGCACAAAAAACACAAUUCAUAUCAAUGUCCAAGAAGUGCAACUUAUCCUUAGUUAAGAGUUUAGAUUGAACUCCUAACCAAAGCAAGAAAGAGUGCUUCGGGGUGAUACACGGCUUCCAUAUUUCAGCUCCCCAAGUUUUGAAAGAACCUUUAGGCCUGAAGAAGUCAUAAGCAAAUUUUGUCCUAAAUUUAUCCAUUCCCAAACAGCCCAGAUUUUCGUUCAAAAAAUCAGAAAACUGCCUACUGACUGAAGCUGUCUGCCUGUGCACAAAACUGCCCAGAAUCUGCAGAUUUCGCCCCAAGUGUUGAGGCACAUUACCCAGCAAAUUAUGCUCAAAAUCAUCAGAAUAAGGUAGAGAAAUUCCCCCGUUAUUGCGCCCAACCGUCGGGACCUGUUGGUGAUGUCCAGCAGCCCCGGAUUGAGCCAAAACAUCCCUAAUUUCCAGCAGUUUCUUGAAGAGUGGGGAGUGAUCCUUUUUAGGGCUAACCUCCCAAAUGCAAGUCCCCUUAAGAUAAACUUGAUUCACCCAUCUAAUCCAUAGGGUAUCCUUCUUGUUUUGAAUGUUCCAAAUGGAUUUAGCAAGUAGCGCUAAAUUCCAAGUCUUCAAGUCUUUCAACCAAGGCCCCCUUCCGCUUUCGGAAGGCAUAGAUUCUUCCAUGCAACCAAUGGCUUCUUUGAUCCCCAAAGGAAGUUCCGACAAAGGCUAACAAUUCUAGAAAUAAUUGUAGCCGGAAUGGGGAAGAUAGAAAGCCAAAAACAUUCAACUCCUUGAAGCACCGCCCUAAUGAGUUCCAUCUUCCCGGCAUAGGAUAAAGAUGCACAACUCCAAGCACCAAUAUAACCCGCAAUUUUUUCAAGAAACGGUGCAUAAGAACUCACUUUGAGCUUCACCGAUGCAAGGGGAAUACCCAAGUAACGAAAAGGCAUAGUCCCUUUCGAAAAUUUUGAGAUUUCCAUGAUAGUUUCAAGCUCAUACCCAGAAAUUCCUGCGGUGUAGAUGCUGGAUUUCGUAGUGUUGAUCUUCAAACCCGAUGCUAAACCAAAUUUGUAAAGGCAAUUGCAUAGAAUUUCAACGGACAUAGCAUCACCCCUUGCAAAAAGCAUCAAGUCAUCUGCAAAAGUCAAGUGGGUUAUCUUAAGGGGACCACAUUUUGGGUGAUAAUUAAAAUCACUAUCAUUUGUAGCAUCCUUGAUCAUUCUAGAAAAAUAUUCAAGACAAAUCACGAACAAGAAAGGGGAGAGUGG
Molecule: long non-coding RNA, 1843 nt
Filed under: Olea europaea subsp. europaea
Lineage: Eukaryota; Viridiplantae; Streptophyta; Magnoliopsida; Lamiales; Oleaceae
Source: RNAcentral